UGGGGAAUUUUGGACAAUGGGGGAAACCCUGAUCCAGCCAUCCCGCGUGUGUGAUGAAGGCCUUCGGGCUGUAAAGCACUUUUGUCAGGAAAGAAACGUCAUGGGCUAAUACCCCGUGAAACUGACGGUACCUGCAGAAUAAGCACCGGCUAACUACGUGCUUGCAGCCGCGGUAAUACGUAGGGUGCAAGCGUUAAUCGGAAUUACUGGGCGUAAAGCGUGCGCAGGCGGUUCGGAAAGAAAGAUGUGAAAUCCCAAAGCUCAACUUUGGAACUGCAUUUCUAACUGCCUGGCUAGAGUGUGUCAGAGGGAGGUGGAAUUCCGCGUGUAGCAGUGAAAUGCGUAGAUAUGCGGAGGAACACCGAUGACGAAGGCAGCCACCUGGAAUAACACUGACGCUCAUGCACGAAAGCGUGGGGAGCAAACAGG
RNAcentral lists this ribosomal RNA (429 nucleotides) under Acidobacteriota bacterium. RNAcentral describes it as "Acidobacteria bacterium partial 16S ribosomal RNA". It matches the Rfam family "Bacterial small subunit ribosomal RNA", at positions 355 to 776 of the family's 1533-position model. Lineage: Bacteria; Pseudomonadati; Acidobacteriota. The record is from RNAcentral.